RNAcentral lists this ribosomal RNA (447 nucleotides) under uncultured bacterium. RNAcentral describes it as "bacterial SSU rRNA". It matches the Rfam family "Bacterial small subunit ribosomal RNA", at positions 330 to 793 of the family's 1533-position model. The record is from RNAcentral.
GCCAGACUCCUACGGGAGGCAGCAGUGGGGGAUAUUGCACAAUGGGGGGAACCCUGAUGCAGCGACGCCGCGUGGGUGAAGGAGUAUUUCGGUAUGUAAAGCCCUAUCGGCAGGGAAGAAGCAAGACGGUACCUGACUAAGAAGCCCCGGCUAACUACGUGCCAGCAGCCGCGGUAAUACGUAGGGGGCGAGCGUUAUCCGGAUUCACUGGGUGUAAAGGGAGCGUAGACGGCCAUGCAAGCCAGGGGUGAAAGCCCGGGGCCCAACCCCGGGACUGCCCUUGGAACUGCAUGGCUGGAGUGCGGGAGGGGCAGGCGGAAUUCCUGGUGUAGCGGUGAAAUGCGUAGAUAUUAGGAGGAACACCAGUGGCGAAGGCGGCUUACUGGACUGUAACUGACGUUGAGGCUCGAAAGCGUGGGGAGCAAACAGGAUUAGAUACCCUAGUAU